CGGAGGAUCCAAGCGUUAUCCGGAAUCAUUGGGUUUAAAGGGUCCGUAGGCGGUUUAGUAAGUCAGUGGUGAAAGCCCAUCGCUCAACGGUGGAACGGCCAUUGAUACUGCUAAACUUGAAUUAUUAGGAAGUAACUAGAAUAUGUAGUGUAGCGGUGAAAUGCUUAGAGAUUACAUGGAAUACCAAUUGCGAAGGCAGGUUACUACUAAUGGAUUGACGCCGAUGGACGAAAGCGUGGGUAGCGAACAGGAUUAGAUACCCUGGUAGUCCACGCCGUAAACGAUGGAUACUAGCUGUUGGGGGCAACUUCAGUGGCUAAGCGAAAGUGAUAAGUAUCCCACCUGGGGAGUACGUUCGCAAGAAUG
Molecule: ribosomal RNA, 366 nt
Filed under: uncultured organism
Description: bacterial SSU rRNA
Rfam family: Bacterial small subunit ribosomal RNA
Source: RNAcentral